This 342-nucleotide long non-coding RNA is filed under the name Orbicella faveolata. RNAcentral's name for it is "uncharacterized LOC110047978, transcript variant X1". Lineage: Eukaryota; Metazoa; Cnidaria; Anthozoa; Scleractinia; Merulinidae. The record is from RNAcentral.
AAGGCUUGCAUCAGUGAGUUGAUGUUACCUGAUCUGAGGCAUAAGCUAAAUUUCUUUACUUUUUCAGUUUUUUUUGCAUGUUGAAGCCAUAUUGUGGAAUGAGGAGAUGUUGUUUUUGAAGACCUCCGGAGGAAUGGACGCAUAAGCAAUACAACACAAGCUUGGCUUACAUGUAGUUGCAGAACCAGUAAGGAAAGUAGACUUUUAGUGAAGAAGAGGGAUCUGUAACACUGGGAAGAUAAGAGAAGAGGGAUUGGGACUUACAUGAAGACCCCUAACAAUUUCUGAAGACUCAAAUUAAGCAUUGUAUCUUGACGAUCACCGAGCUGGACUAUCAGAGCA